CCUACGGGAGGCUGCAGUGAGGAAUAUUGGUCAAUGGACGGAAGCCUGAACCAGCCAUGCCGCGUGCAGGAAGACGGCUCUAUGAGUUGUAAACUGCUUUUGUACAAGGGUAAACCUGAAUACGUGUAUUCAGCUGAAAGUACUGUACGAAUAAGGAUCGGCUAACUCCGUGCCAGCAGCCGCGGUAAUACGGAGGAUCCAAGCGUUAUCCGGAUUUAUUGGGUUUAAAGGGUGCGUAGGCGGAUUGAUAAGUUAGAGGUGAAAUGUCCGAGCUCAACUCGGGAACUGCCUCUAAUACUGUUGAUCUAGAGAGUAGAUGCGGUAGGCGGAAUGUAUGGUGUAGCGGUGAAAUGCUUAGAGAUCAUACAGAACACCGAUUGCGAAGGCAGCUUACCAAUCUAUAUCUGACGUUGAGGCACGAAAGCGUGGGGAGCAAACAGGAUUAGAUACCCUAGUAGUC
This 460-nucleotide ribosomal RNA is filed under the name uncultured bacterium. Its description in RNAcentral is "partial 16S ribosomal RNA". It matches the Rfam family "Bacterial small subunit ribosomal RNA", at positions 338 to 795 of the family's 1533-position model. The record is from RNAcentral.